This 496-nucleotide ribosomal RNA is filed under the name uncultured bacterium. RNAcentral's name for it is "partial 16S ribosomal RNA". It matches the Rfam family "Bacterial small subunit ribosomal RNA", at positions 28 to 506 of the family's 1533-position model. The record is from RNAcentral.
GACGAACGCUGGCGGCGUGCCUAAUACAUGCAAGUUGAGCGAUGAAGCUUGGUGCUUGCACCAAUUUGAAGAGCAGCGAACGGGUGAGUAACGCGUGGGGAAUCUGCCUUUGAGCGGGGGACAACAUUUGGAAACGAAUGCUAAUACCGCAUAACAACUUUAAACAUAAGUUUUAAGUUUGAAAGAUGCAAUUGCAUCACUCAAAGAUGAUCCCGCGUUGUAUUAGCUAGUUGGUGAGGUAAAGGCUCACCAAGGCGAUGAUACAUAGCCGACCUGAGAGGGUGAUCGGCCACAUUGGGACUGAGACACGGCCCAAACUCCUACGGGAGGCAGCAGUAGGGAAUCUUCGGCAACGGACGAAAGUCUGACCGAGCAACGCCGCGUGAGUGAAGAAGGUUUUCGGAUCGUAAAACUCUGUUGGUAGAGAAGAACGUUGGUGAGAGUGGAAAGCUCAUCAAGUGACGGUAACUACCCAGAAAGGGACGGCUAACUACGU